This 112-nucleotide ribozyme is filed under the name Aedes aegypti (yellow fever mosquito). Its description in RNAcentral is "drz-agam-1 ribozyme". It matches the Rfam family "drz-agam-1 ribozyme", at positions 10 to 82 of the family's 82-position model. The record is from Rfam by way of RNAcentral. Lineage: Eukaryota; Metazoa; Arthropoda; Insecta; Diptera; Culicidae.
AGUCGAGUCCUAUCCCUACCUCCUCGCGGUACUGGCCGGGGUGCGAACAACCUUAGAUAAGAUCGGGUAACCAACCCCGAUGGGAGUUUUGGUCGUAUGCUGACUGGGAAGG